UACGUAGGAUCCGAGCGUUAUCCGGAUUUAUUGGGUUUAAAGGGAGCGUAGGUGGAUUAUUAAGUCAGUUGUGAAAGUUUGCGGCUCAACCGUAAAAUUGCAGUUGAAACUGGCAGUCUUGAGUACAGUAGAGGUGGGCGGAAUUCGUGGUGUAGCGGUGAAAUGCUUAGAUAUCACGAAGAACUCCGAUUGCGAAGGCAGCUCACUGGACUGCAACUGGCACUGAGGCUCGAAAGUGUGGGUAUCAAACAGG
Molecule: ribosomal RNA, 253 nt
Filed under: uncultured bacterium
Lineage: Bacteria
Description: partial 16S ribosomal RNA
Rfam family: Bacterial small subunit ribosomal RNA
Source: RNAcentral